This 204-nucleotide long non-coding RNA is filed under the name Hordeum vulgare. RNAcentral describes it as "long non-coding RNA (HVUL_LNC019962)". The record is from RNAcentral. Lineage: Eukaryota; Viridiplantae; Streptophyta; Magnoliopsida; Poales; Poaceae.
AACAAGAACAAAGCAAGUGAUGAAGGAAAAUGCAAAAACCCUAGCCACUUCUCAAAAUAAAGGAAAAUUCAAACUAGUUAAAAUCAAUAAACCCAAAAUGGCCUCAAGAAAAGUUCAAUCUUUCUGAUAAAUCAUGAAAGUAAAUGAGCAAUGAAGAAAACCAUUUUCUUGACACUUUAAGCAUUUUAAAUAAAUGCAAAAAGC